AGGAUUAUAGUUUAAAAAAAACAAUUGAUUUGCAAUCAAUUAAUAUUAAUUUAUUAAUUUAUCUUA
RNAcentral lists this transfer RNA (66 nucleotides) under Adhemarius dentoni. RNAcentral describes it as "tRNA-Ala". It matches the Rfam family "tRNA". Rfam says of the family: Transfer RNA (tRNA) molecules are approximately 80 nucleotides in length. Their secondary structure includes four short double-helical elements and three loops (D, anti-codon, and T loops). Lineage: Eukaryota; Metazoa; Arthropoda; Insecta; Lepidoptera; Sphingidae. The record is from RNAcentral.